AAUGAACCUAUUAAAGUCUUGUGUUGGAGAGUUGAAAUAUUAAAUGAACACAGAGGAGAGAAGUUAAACAGGGUAAAGAUGGUGGAAAAGGAAAAGGAUGCCUUAGAAGGAGAGAAAAACAUAGCUAUCGAAUUUCUUACCUUGGAAAAUGAAAUAUUUAGAAAGAAGAAUCAUGUUUGUCAAUAUUAUAUGUAAGUGCCUUGAUUGAUAUUACCAAUUUUUAUAUUAGUUUUUAACCAUUAAGUCAAAGCCCUUCUCUUUUCCUAGAGAAACAUGAAGACUGAAGUGAAAAAAAAUCUCUAAACAUUGUUUUGUGUGACUGGAUGUGUUAGCUCAUGCCUGUAAUUCAGCACUUUGGGAGGCUAAGGCAGGAGGAUCACUUGAGGCUGGGAGUUCAAGACCAGCCUGGGCAACAUAGCAAGACCCCAUCUCUACAAAAAAAGGAAUUAUGUGGUGAACUUAUCCAAUGUGAGGACUAUCUGGCUGUGACACCUGUCACCCCGUUGAUCACCAGGGUUGAAUUUAUUAAAUUAGGCAUAUUUAUCAAUUCAUUGAAGUUGACUUUUUAGUAUCCUGCUUUAAGUUGGGAGUUAUGAGUUGCAGAAACGAAUUGCUGAAAUGGAAACUCAAAAGGAAAAAAUUCAUGAAGAUACCAAAGAAAUUAAUGAGAAGAGCAAUAUACUAUCAAAUGAAAUGAAAGC
RNAcentral lists this small RNA (701 nucleotides) under Pan troglodytes (chimpanzee). RNAcentral's name for it is "processed transcript". The record is from RNAcentral. Lineage: Eukaryota; Metazoa; Chordata; Mammalia; Primates; Hominidae.